AUGAUUGCUCAAAUUUUAUUAUUUUUCAAGCUGAUGCGAAGCCGAGUUCUUAUGUACUGAAUCUUCAGGGACCGGAAGAAAUGGCACAUAGAUUGAUAAGAAAUAUGAUAACGAUGUCAAAACAAGUUGUUAUGGAUUCUAGUUUCCUAAAAAGUUUGAGUCAUAUCACAAUCAUUUUCCUUUUAUUUCUUAUCAUCCGUAGAGGGUUGAUUUUGAAAUAAGGCACCAGACUCUUAUUACAUCAAAUCUACAACAUCAGAUUAUGGUAAUGAACAAGAUCAAAGAUCAGGACGAGAUAGAUGACAUCGGGCAGAAUAAUAAUUAUCCUGCGUUUGGUAAACAAAUAAAUUUCCAGGUAAAGGAAGUAAAAGAAAUAUCCUAAACACAUAGAAAAAUCUUUAAUACUUGAAUUAAUAUUAUCAAAAUAAAAUUAAAAAAAUUAUAAUUCAAGCCACAAACCGAAUUUUAUAGCUAAAAGGUUUUGAAUGUAACAGAAUUCUUAUAACUGGUAAUAAACUUCUAAUAGGUAACAACUUCAUAUAAUUAUGCCGAAAAUUAAUUACAUAAUAACAUAAAAGAUUUACUUUCUAAUAAAAUACUACUACAUAGAAAACGAAAACAUAACAAAAAAAAUAAACUCAAAGUCAGGCCCGAAGAAAAAUCUGAUCCUGACUCCUAAUGAGAUUUCCAAAGUCGAGCUCCCGAAGUCAUCCGUCAUUUUUGUGUCGAUCCAGCAAAUAGUAUUUCAGCGCCAUCAAAGUACUAUCCGACAACUCAGCAUCAUCAAACUCAGAUCCUUCAACAUCAUCACUCAGAUCCUCCAGCAUCAAUAAACAACAAGUAAUUGAAGGGUUAGAAAAACUUCAAAAUUCUAAAAUGAGACUACUCAUGUAUCUUGAUUAAAAAUUGAAGAUUUGUAUUACUGGAUGUGUAUAUAUAUGUAUGUAUAUUUGUAGAGAGAGAAAACGAGGGUUCAUACCUCGGUAUAAGGCGGGUAGUUAAAAUUAGGAGCGUGAUUUUGGGUGGGGUGGGCAACGUAAGCUAUCAGAGGUGUCAGUCUGGUCGCCGGCCGCAAAGACCUGAAUAGGAGAGAGAUCAGGGAAAGCUACAAAGAGGAAAGAAAAAAUGAUUUAUUUCUAGAGAGAAUAUAAAAAAGUUUUUUUGUGAGGAGAGGAAUUAUAUAAUAAAUAUAAG
Molecule: long non-coding RNA, 1194 nt
Filed under: Panax ginseng (ginseng)
Lineage: Eukaryota; Viridiplantae; Streptophyta; Magnoliopsida; Apiales; Araliaceae
Description: long non-coding RNA (PGIN_LNC014234)
Source: RNAcentral